This 404-nucleotide ribosomal RNA is filed under the name uncultured Glomeromycotina. RNAcentral's name for it is "SSU rRNA". It matches the Rfam family "Eukaryotic small subunit ribosomal RNA", at positions 675 to 1092 of the family's 1831-position model. The record is from RNAcentral. Lineage: Eukaryota; Fungi; Glomeromycota.
AUUGUCUGUACUGGUAAGAUGAAUCUCUACCUUCUGAGGAACUUUCAUUUAUUUGGUGUGAUUGGAAAUCAGGACUGUUACUUUGAAAAAAUUAGAGUGUUUAAAGUCUGAAUACAUUAGCAUGGAAUAAUGAAAUAGGACAGAUUGAUUCUAUUUCGUUGAUUUCUAGGGUUACCAUAAUGAUUAAUAGGGAUAGUUGGGGGCUUAGUAUUCAAUUGUCAGAGGUGAAAUUCUUGGAUUUAUUGAAGACUAACUACUGCGAAAGUAUUUACCAAGGAUGUUUUCAUUAAUCAAGAAAGUUAGGAGAUUGAAGAUGAUCAGAUACCAUCGUAGUCUUAACUAUAAACUAUGAUGACUAGGGAUCGGACGAAGUUAAUUAAUAAUGACGCGUUCGGCACUUUACG